This 322-nucleotide ribosomal RNA is filed under the name uncultured Pseudomonas sp. RNAcentral's name for it is "bacterial SSU rRNA". It matches the Rfam family "Bacterial small subunit ribosomal RNA", at positions 1066 to 1382 of the family's 1533-position model. Lineage: Bacteria; Pseudomonadati; Pseudomonadota; Gammaproteobacteria; Pseudomonadales; Pseudomonadaceae. The record is from RNAcentral.
UGAGAUACGUUGGGUUAAGUCCCGUAACAAGCCGCAACCCUUGUCCUUAGUUACCAGGCACGUUAUGGUGGGCACUCUAAGGAGAACUGCCGGUGACAAACCGGGAGGAAGGUGGGGAUGACGUCAAGUCAUCAUGGCCCUUACGGCCUGGGCUACACACGUGCUACAAUGGUCGGUACAAAGGGUUGCCAAGCCGCGAGGUGGAGCUAAUCCCAAUAAAACCGAUCGUAGUCCGGAUCGCAGUCUGCAACUCGACUGCGUGAAGUCGGAAUCGCUAGUAAUCGUGAAUCAGAAUGUCACGGUGAAUACGUUCCCGGGCCUU